UACGGAGGUUCCAAGCGUUGUUCGGAAUUACUGGGCGUAAAGGGAGCGCAGGCGGACGGGUCAGUUUAAAGUGGAAUCCCAGGGCUCAACCCUGGACGUGCUUUGGAUACUGCCUGUCUUGAGUUCGUGAGAGGAAAGUGGAAUUCAGGGUGUAGCGGUGAAAUGCUUAGAUAUCCUGAGGAACACCAGUGGCGAAAGCGACUUUCUGGCACGAAACUGACGCUGAGGCUCGAAAGCAUGGGUAGCGAACGGGAUUAGAUACCCCGGUAGUCCAUGCCGUAAACGUUGUAUACUAGGUGCGGGAGGUAUCGACCCCUUCCGUGCCGAAGCUAACGCAUUAAGUAUACCGCCUGGGGAGUACGCGCGCAAGCGUG
RNAcentral lists this ribosomal RNA (374 nucleotides) under uncultured prokaryote. RNAcentral's name for it is "bacterial SSU rRNA". It matches the Rfam family "Bacterial small subunit ribosomal RNA", at positions 524 to 896 of the family's 1533-position model. The record is from RNAcentral.